Molecule: long non-coding RNA, 472 nt
Organism: Brassica napus (rape)
Lineage: Eukaryota; Viridiplantae; Streptophyta; Magnoliopsida; Brassicales; Brassicaceae
Exons: 2
Source: RefSeq, a predicted model, not a curated record
UCCAUUUUAAUUUUCGCAGUUUUUUUUUUGGUUUAUGGUUUAGGAGAGAGAAAAUAAGUUGAGAAGGAGAAACAUAUGAAGUUUUUAAUCUCUUUCUUCUCCAAAUAUCAACACGGCUUUGUUUUUCGAGAAAGAAUCAGCUACCACGCGGCCCACUGAAGUUAUUGUGGAAACCAAGAUUGACGGUGCGAUUGAAUGGCAUUCAUGUAAUUUCAGUCGUUUACUCAUGUGGGCCCUGCUAAAUGGAAGGGGAAGAUUGACCGUACUUAUGAUAGAUGCACUUUUUGAUCUGAUACACUUUUAGUCAUCGUUCCUUAUUAAAGAAAAAAAUAUUUAAAAUGAGGACUGUUACCAUAAUGGCAUUCAUGUGAUUACUUGUAAAGUUUAGGGGUGAUAAUUAUAUUUGAGAACAAACGGGUGAUGUGUAUCAACCAAUAAGAUUUGAAGGCUGUGAGUGUUGGAUCAAUCAGAA